This is a transfer RNA of Candidatus Brocadia fulgida, 74 nucleotides long. It matches the Rfam family "tRNA". Rfam says of the family: Transfer RNA (tRNA) molecules are approximately 80 nucleotides in length. Their secondary structure includes four short double-helical elements and three loops (D, anti-codon, and T loops). NCBI's taxonomy places the organism in Bacteria, Pseudomonadati, Planctomycetota, Candidatus Brocadiia, Candidatus Brocadiales, Candidatus Brocadiaceae. The record is from Rfam.
GGGCGAUUAGCUCAGUUGGCUAGAGCGCUUGCUCGACAAGCAAGAGGUCACUGGUUCGAGCCCAGUAUCGCCCA